This is a long non-coding RNA of Nicotiana tabacum (common tobacco), 721 nucleotides long. RefSeq lists it as uncharacterized. The record is from RefSeq and is a predicted model, not a curated record. NCBI's taxonomy places the organism in Eukaryota, Viridiplantae, Streptophyta, Magnoliopsida, Solanales, Solanaceae.
AGUUGUUGAAACUACUACUUAUUCAUCUAGGGCCUAGGUCACAGCAAGGCCACCGAAGAGGUGAUCUAAAUUGUACAAUUGUGUUCAUAUCACGCUCAACAUCGAUAUGUAGAUUUGAAAUACUCUCAUAAAUAUGAGUAUAGAAGCCAUUUUGGCCUUAUUGAAAUUGGGUUUUAAUUCUCAUAUACAUCAAACAACUGAAGGGUUGCGGUAUUGCCGUUGAUACUAUUCUUCGCUGCAAAAAAGGCGGCCUAUCUUGUGGCAAAGACGUUUAUACAGCCAUUCCCAUUACCAAAAUAUCAUUAGACUACUGAGGAGCUUAUAUAAAUGGAAUCUAAACCAGUAAUAUGCAUAACCAUCACCAUGAGCACAAAUAAUAGAGGAAAGUUGCAGUUUCAGUUGAUUUCCCCGUCCCUUUUUACAGGAUACCUGUAUUACUGCAUCACCGAAUUGAUCCAGGUGCCCGAGCAUCAAAGUGAGAGCUUCCAGCAAUCUUAGAGCUUUACUGGAAAUCGCAAGGUAGCUGCACGGCGUUCGCAACCCUGCCGUCCUCCCUCCUAUUUUAGUAUUUUGUUAUUUCGAACUUAUUUUGUUAUUUCUUGGUUGUAUUUAGAGGCUCUAACUAGUGACACUAGAUUGUUGGGUUGUGUUGGUAUAUUUUGUAUUGAUUUUCGCAUAUUUUUGUUGAUUUAUAUAUUUCAUAUGAGAACUUGAGACUUAA